AUUGAACGCUGGCGGCAGGCCUAACACAUGCAAGUCGAGCGGAUGAAGGGAGCUUGUUCCUGGAUUCAGCGGCGGACGGGUGAGUAAUGCCUAGGAAUCUGCCUGGUAGUGGGGGAUAACGUCCGGAAACGGGUGCUAAUACCGCAUACGUCCUGCGGGAGAAAGUGGGGGAUGUUCGGACAUCACGCUAUCAGAUGAGCCUAGGCCGGAUUAGCUAGUUGGUGGGGUAAAGGCCUACCAAGGCGACGAUCCGUAACUGGUCUGAGAGGAUGAUCAGUCACACUGGAACUGAGACACGGUCCAGACUCCUACGGGAGGCAGCAGUGGGGAAUAUUGGACAAUGGGCGAAAGCCUGAUCUAGCCAUGCCGCGUGUGUGAAGAAGGUCUUCGGAUUGUAAAGCACUUUAAGUUGGGAGGAAGGGCAGUGAGUUAAUACCUUGCUGUUUUGACGUUACCAACAGAAUAAGCACCGGCUAACUUCGUG
Molecule: ribosomal RNA, 484 nt
Filed under: uncultured bacterium
Lineage: Bacteria
Description: partial 16S ribosomal RNA
Rfam family: Bacterial small subunit ribosomal RNA
Source: RNAcentral